This 301-nucleotide ribosomal RNA is filed under the name uncultured bacterium. RNAcentral's name for it is "partial 16S ribosomal RNA". It matches the Rfam family "Bacterial small subunit ribosomal RNA", at positions 509 to 809 of the family's 1533-position model. The record is from RNAcentral.
CAGUCGCCGCGGGAAUACGAAGGGGGCUAGCGUUGUUCGGACUUACUGGGCGUAAAGCGCACGUAGGCGGAUCGAUCAGUCAGGGGUGAAAUCCUGGAGCUCAACUCCAGAACUGCCUUUGAUACUGUCGAUCUCGAGUCCGGAAGAGGUGAGUGGAACUCCUAGUGUAGAGGUGGAAUUCGUAGAUAUUAGGAAGAACACCAGUGGCGAAGGCGGCUCACUGGUCCGGUACUGACGCUGAGGUGCGAAAGCGUGGGGAGCAAACAGGAUUAGAUACCCCUGUAGUCCCUGUCUCUUAUAA